UUGGAGGGCAAGUCUGGUGCCAGCAGCCGCGGUAAUUCCAGCUCCAAUAGCGUAUAUUAAAGUUGCUGCAGUUAAAAAGCUCGUAGUUGAAUUUCGGGAUCAUCAUGUCGGUCGUGCCUCGGUACGUACUGGCAUUGUUGGUUUCUACCUUCUGACGAACCAUGAUGUCAUUUAUUUGGUGUCGUGGGAAAUCAGGACUGUUACUUUGAAAAAAUUAGAGUGUUUAAAGCAGGCUCACGCUUGAAUACAUUAGCAUGGAAUAAUGAAAUAGGACGUUUGAUUCUAUUUUGUUGGUUUCUAGGAUCGACGUAAUGAUUAAUAGGGAUAGUUGGGGGCAUUAGUAUUCAAUUGUCAGAGGUGAAAUUCUUGGAUUUAUUGAAGACUAACUACUGCGAAAGCAUUUGCCAAGGAUGUUUUCAUUAAUCAAGAACGAAAGUUAGGGGAUCGAAGACGAUCAGAUACCGUCGUAGUCUUAACCAUAAACUAUGCCGACUAGGGAUCGGAUGAUGUUAAUUUUUUAAUGACUCAUUCGGCGCCUUACGGGAAACCAAAGUGUUUGGGUUC
RNAcentral lists this ribosomal RNA (564 nucleotides) under uncultured Glomeromycotina. RNAcentral's name for it is "SSU rRNA". It matches the Rfam family "Eukaryotic small subunit ribosomal RNA", at positions 548 to 1114 of the family's 1831-position model. The record is from RNAcentral. Lineage: Eukaryota; Fungi; Glomeromycota.